AGAUUAAACAUAAGAGUUUGAUCCUGGCUCAGAUUGAACGCUGGCGGCAUGCUUUACACAUGCAAGUCGAACGGCAGCACGGAGAGCUUGCUCUCUGGUGGCGAGUGGCGAACGGGUGAGUAAUGCAUCGGAACGUACCGAGUAAUGGGGGAUAACUGUCCGAAAGGAUGGCUAAUACCGCAUACGCCCUGAGGGGGAAAGCGGGGGAUCUUAGUGACCUCGCGUUAUUUGAGCGGCCGAUGUUGGAUUAGCUAGUUGGUGGGGUAAAGGCCUACCAAGGCGACGAUCCAUAGCGGGUCUGAGAGGAUGAUCCGCCACAUUGGGACUGAGACACGGCCCAAACUCCUACGGGAGGCAGCAGUGGGGAAUUUUGGACAAUGGGGGGAACCCUGAUCCAGCCAUGCCGCGUGUCUGAAGAAGGCCUUCGGGUUGUAAAGGACUUUUGUUAGGGAAGAAAAGCCGGGUGUUAAUACCACCUGGUGCUGACGGUACCUAAAGAAUAAGCACCGGCUAACUACGUGCCAGCAGCCGCGGUAAUACGUAGGGUGCGAGCGUUAAUCGGAAUUACUGGGCGUAAAGCGAGCGCAGACGGUUAAUUAAGUCAGAUGUGAAAUCCCCGAGCUCAACUUGGGACGUGCAUUUGAAA
Molecule: ribosomal RNA, 646 nt
Filed under: Snodgrassella alvi
Lineage: Bacteria; Pseudomonadati; Pseudomonadota; Betaproteobacteria; Neisseriales; Neisseriaceae
Description: bacterial SSU rRNA
Rfam family: Bacterial small subunit ribosomal RNA
Source: RNAcentral